AUGGCCCCUAGAGGCAUCACAGGUGUGGCUGCUGUGUCCCAUGUGCCUCAGUAGGUAGCAGAGAGGAGAGAGGCCAUGUGUAAGCUCAGUGUUGUGACCUGUGAACAUCUGAGUGAUUUGUAGCCUAACAAU
Meriones unguiculatus (Mongolian gerbil) is the source of this 132-nucleotide small nucleolar RNA. The record is from Ensembl. Lineage: Eukaryota; Metazoa; Chordata; Mammalia; Rodentia; Muridae.